AACUCUGUCUGUGGUCCUUUGACAGGACAAUGUGACUGUGUCCAACUGUGAUCUUCUGCUCAUACGUAAUGUGAGCAGUGAUGAUGCCGGGCUCUACAGCGUUGCCGUGUCUGUGGACGACUACCCCAGUCUGCAGAGACAAGCUGUGGUCAAUGUGACCGUACACAGGGUUGUUGCUCCAACCAGCUGGGACCAUUUGGACGCCACCUCCAUCAUCGCAACAUCGGGGGACCCUGUCCAAGUUAGCACAAGCACUGCCCUGACAAUGGUCACCUCAGAUAUGACGUGGACUGACAUCAGCACAACCGCAAUGGAGCAUGACUGGAAAACUGUGGAAGAGACUUUCUCCUCUGAAAAUGCAACUACAGAGCAGUUUGACAGCAUGAAUACAACAACAUCAGAGGACAACACCACAGACUCAAAAGCUAAUGGAUUUACAUUCAGUUCCGUGCUGCCCUGGUUCUCGCAGAACAUCACAUCAGCGGGAACACACGAGAGCAUGGUCCCCAACACUGGGACAUCACCACGCAGCAUCAUUGCAAGUGUACCCACCACCUCAGCACCAAAUAAGAGGAACAUGCUGUGGGCCAUCUUCCCUUUCCUGGCGUUAGCAGUCAUAGCCACUGUUCUGUACAUGAAAUACAGAAUCCAGAGGAGGUGAGCUAUUCUUUCUCUUUCCAGUCUUCCAUUGGCAUUGCUGUGCUGAGUAGAUUAAAGAACAGGGUACAACUUUAACACCGGCAGCAAAUAUAAAUAAUCUGGAAUUUCAUUCCACAC
Molecule: long non-coding RNA, 777 nt
Filed under: Scleropages formosus (Asian bonytongue)
Lineage: Eukaryota; Metazoa; Chordata; Actinopteri; Osteoglossiformes; Osteoglossidae
Description: lncRNA (ENSSFOG00015026142.1)
Source: RNAcentral